Molecule: ribosomal RNA, 963 nt
Filed under: Limisphaerales bacterium
Lineage: Bacteria; Pseudomonadati; Verrucomicrobiota; Verrucomicrobiia; Limisphaerales
Description: bacterial SSU rRNA
Rfam family: Bacterial small subunit ribosomal RNA
Source: RNAcentral
AGAGUUUGAUUCUGGCUCAGAACGAACGCUGGCGGCGUGGAUAAGACAUGCAAGUCGAGCGCUGAUUACAGGGUAGCAAUAUUCUGUGGUCGGAGCGGCGCAAGGGUGCGUAACACGUGGGUAAUUUGCCAUGAAGUCUGGAAUAACUUGCUGAAAGGCGAGCUAAUGCCGGAUGUGAAAAUUGGGAGGCAUCUUCUGAUUUUCAAAGCUGGGGACCGUAAGGCCUGGCGCUUCAUGAUAAGCCCGCGGCCUAUCAGCUAGUUGGUGAGGUAACGGCUCACCAAGGCUAAGACGGGUAGCUGGUCUGAGAGGACGACCAGCCACACUGGAACUGAGACACGGUCCAGACACCUACGGGUGGCAGCAGUCGAGAAUUUUUCACAAUGGGCGAAAGCCUGAUGGAGCGACGCCGCGUGGGGGAUGAAUGGCUUCGGCCCGUAAACCCCUGUCAUUCGGGAUCAAUGCGUUUGGGUGAACAUCCCAAACGUUGAUAGUACCGGAAGAGGAAGGGACGGCUAACUCUGUGCCAGCAGCCGCGGUAAUACAGAGGUCCCAAGCGUUGUUCGGAUUUACUGGGCGUAAAGGGUGCGUAGGUGGUUGGGUAAGUCUGAUGUGAAAUCUCGGAGCUUAACUCCGAAACGGCAUUGGAUACUAUUCAGCUUGAGAGUUGGAGGGGGGACUGGAAUUCUCGGUGUAGCAGUGAAAUGCGUAGAUAUCGAGAGGAACACCAGUGGCGAAGGCGAGUCCCUGGACAACUUCUGACACUGAGGCACGAAAGCCAGGGGAGCAAACGGGAUUAGAUACCCCGGUAGUCCUGGCCCUAAACGGUGCACGUUUGCUGUAAAAGGAAUCGACCCCUUUUGUGGCGAAGCCAACGCGUUAAACGUGCCGCCUGGGAAGUACGGUCGCAAGAUUAAAACUCAAAGAAAUUGACGGGGGCCUGCACAAGCGGUGGAGUAUGUG